AGAGUUUGAUCAUGGCUCAGAUUGAACGCUGGCGGCAUGCUUUACACAUGCAAGUCGAACGGCAGCAUGGGCUUCGGCCUGAUGGCGAGUGGCGAACGGGUGAGUAAUGCAUCGGAACGUGCCCAGUCGUGGGGGGACAACUAGUCGAAAGAUUAGCUAAUACCGCAUACGACCUGAGGGUGAAAGUGGGGGAUCUUCGGACCUCACGCGAUUGGAGCGGCCGAUGUCAGAUUAGCUAGUUGGUGGGGUAAGAGCCUACCAAGGCGACGAUCUGUAGCGGGUCUGAGAGGAUGAUCCGCCACACUGGGACUGAGACACGGCCCAGACUCCUACGGGAGGCAGCAGUGGGGAAUUUUGGACAAUGGGGGCAACCCUGAUCCAGCCAUGCCGCGUGCGGGAAGAAGGCCUUCGGGUUGUAAACCGCUUUCGGACAGAAAGAAAUCGCACAGGUUAAUACCUUGUGUGGAUGACGGUACUGUAAGAAGAAGCACCGGCUAACUACGUGCCAGCAGCCGCGGUAAUACGUAGGGUGCGAGCGUUAAUCGGAAUUACUGGGCGUAAAGCGUGCGCAGGCGGAUUGUUAAGCAAGAUGUGAAAUCCCCGGGCUUAACCUGGGAAUGGCAUUUUGAACUGGCAGUCUAGAGUGCGUCAGAGGGGGGUGGAAUUCCACGUGUAGCAGUGAAAUGCGUAGAGAUGUGGAGGAACACCGAUGGCGAAGGCAGCCCCCUGGGAUGACACUGACGCUCAUGCACGAAAGCGUGGGGAGCAAACAGGAUUAGAUACCCUAGUAGUCC
RNAcentral lists this ribosomal RNA (794 nucleotides) under uncultured bacterium. RNAcentral's name for it is "bacterial SSU rRNA". It matches the Rfam family "Bacterial small subunit ribosomal RNA", at positions 8 to 796 of the family's 1533-position model. The record is from RNAcentral.